ACAUGAAAAAUCUACCAUCAUCACCUUGCGAAUAUUUUAAAAAAAUGGCGCAAAACAAAGGGUUUCUUUAAAGAAGAGGACUUCUCCUGCUGAAUGCUCCACAAGCUCUCUAAGGAUCCUUUCAGAAUUCUAAUGCCGGGCCUGGCCCUUAUUUGACUGUGUAUUUAAUAACUGCUGUUGCUGUUGAGAGUUGGUACAAUUUUCUCAAAGGAAUUUUCCAUCUCUGAAAGGAUCCAUUCAGAAUUCUAAAGCCGUCUCUUAUUUGACUGUGUAUUUAAUAAAUGCAGUUGCUGCUGUUGCGAGUUGGUACAAUUUUCUAAAAG
Molecule: long non-coding RNA, 323 nt
Organism: Bombina bombina (fire-bellied toad)
Lineage: Eukaryota; Metazoa; Chordata; Amphibia; Anura; Bombinatoridae
Exons: 3
Source: RefSeq, a predicted model, not a curated record